Molecule: non-coding RNA, 69 nt
Organism: Halocaridina rubra (Hawaiian volcano shrimp)
Lineage: Eukaryota; Metazoa; Arthropoda; Malacostraca; Decapoda; Atyidae
Source: the annotation of a GenBank genome assembly
GUAGUGGCGGAGUGGUAACGCUCACGACUUUGGUUCGUCAGGUCGUGGGUUCGCGGCCCUCCAUGGUCU